UGUAACNGGGCUCAAACCACACACCGAAGCUGCGGGUGUCGCGUAAGUGACGCGGUAGAGAGCGUUCUGUAAGCCUGUGAAGGUGAGUUGAGAAGCUGGAGGUAUCAGAAGUGCGAAUGCUGACAUGAGUAACGACAAUGGGUGUGAAAACACCCACGCCGGAAGACCAAGGGUUCCUGCGCAACGUUAAUCGACGCAGGGUUAGUCNGUUNCAACGAGGCUGAAAAGCGUAGUCGAUGGGAAACAGGUUAGUAUUCCUGUACUUCUGGUUACUGCGAUGGAGGGACGGAGAAGGCUAGGCCAGCUUGGCGUUGGUUGUCCAAGUUUAAGGUGGUAGGCUGAAAUCUUAGGUAAAUCCGGGGUUUCAAGGCCGAGAGCUGAUGACGAGUCGUCUUUUAGAUGACGAAGUGGUUGAUGCCAUGCUUCAAGAAAAGCUUCAAGCUUCAGGUAACCAGGAACCGUACCCCAAACCGACACAGGUGGUCGGUAGAGAANAUCAAGGCGCUUGAGAGAACUCGGGUGAAGGAACUAGGCAAAAUGGCACCGUAACUUCGGGAGAAGGUGCGCCGGCUUAGGGUGAAGGAUUUACUCCAUAAGCUCUGGCUGGUCGAAGAUACCAGGCCGCUGCGACUGUUUAUUAAAACACAGCACUCUGCAAAACACGAAAGUGGACGUAUAGGGUGUGACGCCCGGUGCCGAAGGUUAAUUGAUAAGUUAGCGCAAGCGAAGCCUGAUCGAAGCCCCGGUAAACGGCGGCCGUAACUAUAACGGUCCUAAGGUAGCGAAAUUCCUUGUCGGGUAAGUUCCGACCUGCACGAAUGGCGUAACGAUGGCGGCGCUGUCUCCACCCGAGACUCAGUGAAAUUGAAAUCGCUGUGAAGAUGCAGUGUCCGCGGCUAGGCGGAAAGACCCCGUGAACCUUUACNGUAGCUUUGCACUGGACUUUGAGCCUGCUGUGUAGGAUAGGUGGGAGGCUUUGAGCGUGGACGCCAGUUCGCGUGGAGCCAUCCUUGAAAUACCACCUGGCAUGCUUGAGGUUCUAACUCUGGUCCGUAAUCCGGAUCGAGGACAGUGUAUGGUGGGCAGUUUGACUGGGGCGGUCUCCUCCUAAAGAGUAACGGAGGAGUACGAAGGCGCUCAGACCGGUCGGAAAUCGGUCGCAGAGUAUAAAGGCAAAAGCGCUCUUGACUGCGAGACGACACGUCGAGCAGGUACGAAAGUAGGUCUUAGUGAUCCGGUGGUUCUGUAUGGAAGGGCCAUCGUUCAACGGAUAAAAGGUACUCCGGGGAUAACAGGCUGAUACCGCCAAGAGUUCAUAUCGACGGCGGUGUUUGGCACCUCGAUGUCGGCUCAUCACAUCCUGGGGCUGAAGCCGGUCCCAAGGGUAUGGCUGUUCGCCAUUUAAAGUGGUACGCGAGCUGGGUUUAGAACGUCGUGAGACAGUUCGGUCCCUAUCUGCCGUGGACGUUUGAGAUUUGAGAGGGCUGCUCCUAGUACGAGAGGACCGGAGUGGACGAACCUCUGGUGUUCCGGUUGUACGCCAGUGGCAUUGCCGGGUAGCUAUGUUCGGAAAAGAUAACCGCUGAAAGCAUCUAAGCGGAAACUUGCCUCAAGAUGAGAUCUCACUGGGAACUUGAUUCCCUGAAGGGCCGUCGAAGACUACGACGUUGAUAGGCUGGGUGUGUAAGCGUUGUGAGGCGUUGAGCUAACCAGUACUAAUUGCCCGUGAGG
This 1731-nucleotide ribosomal RNA is filed under the name metagenome. RNAcentral describes it as "bacterial LSU rRNA". It matches the Rfam family "Bacterial large subunit ribosomal RNA", at positions 1171 to 2916 of the family's 2925-position model. The record is from RNAcentral.